This 494-nucleotide ribosomal RNA is filed under the name uncultured bacterium. Its description in RNAcentral is "partial 16S ribosomal RNA". It matches the Rfam family "Bacterial small subunit ribosomal RNA", at positions 28 to 507 of the family's 1533-position model. The record is from RNAcentral.
GACGAACGCUGGCGGCGUGCUUAACACAUGCAAGUCGAACGGAAAGGCCUGCUUUCCCUUGUGGAUUGCGGGUACUCGAGUGGCGAACGGGUGAGUAACACGUGAGUGAUCUGCCCCCAACUUGGGUAUAAGCCUGGGAAACUGGGUCUAAUUCCCGAUAGGACUGCAGGGUGGUGCCUGUGGUGGAAAACGAUUUUCUAGUGGUUGGGGAUGAGCUCGCGGCCUAUCAGCUUGUUGGUGGGGUAAUGGCCUACCAAGGCGGCGACGGGUAGCCGGCCUGAGAGGGUGGACGGCCACAUUGGGACUGAGAUACGGCCCAGACUCCUACGGGAGGCAGCAGUGGGGAAUAUUGCACAAUGGGCGGAAGCCUGAUGCAGCGACGCCGCGGGGGGGAUGACGGCCUUCGGGUUGUAAACUCCUUUCGGCCGCGAGGAAGCCACCUGGUUGGAAGGGUGGUGACGGUAGUGGUAGAAGAAGCACCGGCUAACUACGUG